This 834-nucleotide ribosomal RNA is filed under the name uncultured eukaryote. RNAcentral describes it as "bacterial SSU rRNA". It matches the Rfam family "Eukaryotic small subunit ribosomal RNA", at positions 968 to 1828 of the family's 1831-position model. The record is from RNAcentral.
GUUCGUUGAUCAAGAGCGAAAGUGGGGGUAGCGAUGACGAUCAGAUACCGUCGUAGUCCUCACCGUAAAGUGUUGCCGAUCCAUUUCAUCGGAUGCAUGUCUAAAGAGGCCAUCCGGGAAUGCAGGAUAACCAAUUAAUCAGGCUCUGGGGGGAGUAUGGUCGCAAGAGUGAAACUUAAAGGAAUUGACGGAAGAGCACCACCAGGAAUGGAGCCUGCGGCUUAAUUUGAAUCAACACGGGGAAUCUUACGGGGACCGGACGCUUGGAUGAUGGGAUCAGCAUAAAGUGCUUUCCAAGAUUCGAGCUACUAGUGGUGCAUGGCCGUUCUUAGUUCGUGAAUUGAUUUGUCAGGUUAAUUCCGGUAACGAGCGAGAUCUGAGCCCUUUCGUUAGGAAAUUCCAACGGGGUAACAUGUGCUUUAAAGCCAUGCAAUCAGGUCUACAACAGGUCAGUGAUGCCCUUCGAUGUUCCCGGCCGCACGCGCGCUACAAUGGAUGAGUCGACGAGCAGAGGUUUUUUUAAACCACUCUGAAAUCAAUUCAGAGGGCUAGACCGAGAGGUCAGGCGAAUCUGUUGAAACUCAUGAUCGUGAUUUGGGAUAGAGCUUUGAAAUUCUGGCUCUUGAACGAGGAACUCCUAGUAAGCCUCCGUCAUCAACGGAAGUUGAAUACGUCCCUGCUCUUUGUACACACCGCCCGUCGCUACUACCGAUUGAGUGUUUCGGCGAGAAUGGACAAGGUCCCACUGUGGCACCAACCUCCAUUCAGGCCGAUGCACUUAGAGGAAGUAAAAGUCGUAACAAGGUUUCCGUAGGUGAACCUGCAGAAGGAUCA